AGAGCGAACGCUGGCGGCAGGCUUAACACAUGCAAGUCGAGCGGGCGUAGCAAUACGUCAGCGGCAGACGGGUGAGUAACGCGUGGGAACGUACCUUUUGGUUCGGAACAACCCAGGGAAACUUGGGCUAAUACCGGAUAAGCCCUUACGGGGAAAGAUUUAUCGCCGAAAGAUCGGCCCGCGUCUGAUUAGCUAGUUGGUGAGGUAAUGGCUCACCAAGGCGACGAUCAGUAGCUGGUCUGAGAGGAUGAUCAGCCACAUUGGGACUGAGACACGGCCCAAACUCCUACGGGAGGCAGCAGUGGGGAAUAUUGGACAAUGGGCGCAAGCCUGAUCCAGCCAUGCCGCGUGAGUGAUGAAGGUCCCUAGGGUUGUAAAGCUCUUUUGUGCGGGAAGAUAAUGACGGUACCGCAAGAAUAAGCCCCGGCUAACUUCGCGCCAGCAGCCGC
RNAcentral lists this ribosomal RNA (449 nucleotides) under uncultured bacterium. Its description in RNAcentral is "SSU rRNA". It matches the Rfam family "Bacterial small subunit ribosomal RNA", at positions 26 to 518 of the family's 1533-position model. The record is from RNAcentral.